RNAcentral lists this ribosomal RNA (270 nucleotides) under Bacillus subtilis. RNAcentral's name for it is "partial 16S ribosomal RNA". It matches the Rfam family "Bacterial small subunit ribosomal RNA", at positions 1265 to 1533 of the family's 1533-position model. Lineage: Bacteria; Bacillati; Bacillota; Bacilli; Caryophanales; Bacillaceae. The record is from RNAcentral.
AAGCCAAUCCCACAAAUCUGUUCUCAGUUCGGAUCGCAGUCUGCAACUCGACUGCGUGAAGCUGGAAUCGCUAGUAAUCGCGGAUCAGCAUGCCGCGGUGAAUACGUUCCCGGGCCUUGUACACACCGCCCGUCACACCACGAGAGUUUGUAACACCCGAAGUCGGUGAGGUAACCUUUUAGGAGCCAGCCGCCGAAGGUGGGACAGAUGAUUGGGGUGAAGUCGUAACAAGGUAGCCGUAUCGGAAGGUGCGGUUGGAUCACCUCCAAA